RNAcentral lists this long non-coding RNA (470 nucleotides) under Equus caballus (horse). Its description in RNAcentral is "lncRNA (ENSECAG00000035696.2)". Lineage: Eukaryota; Metazoa; Chordata; Mammalia; Perissodactyla; Equidae. The record is from RNAcentral.
GCAUUCCUCAUCCAUCUACUUAUCUCAGAGCUUACACUGUGCCAGGCAUAGGUAGUAAGCACUCAAGAAAUCUUUGAGAGGGAGACAUUCUGUUCCGUUCAGCAAAGACAGAGGAAAACUUCAGUGAUCUGCCAAGUCACCAGAAAGACCAAGGAGUUGCCCAGGAUCUCCCAGAAUCAAGAGGAAGCUAAAGGAACUGUGUCAUCUCAUAGCCAAACAUUUGUUGGUCUCUCUCAUUCCGCCAUCAUCGAGUCAAUACCUACGACGCGGCAGGAACACCAUCAGGUGCUGGGGACUGCGGGUGUCAGACAGGGCCGCUUAACCAUGAGCGACUUUGUCUGCUAAGUAUAUUUAGCAAUGGCCGGAGACAUUUUGGUUGUCACAACUGGGGAGGGGGCUACUGACAUCCGAUGGAUAGAGGCCACGGAUGCUAAACCCCUUACAAUGCAAAGGACAACCGUGCACAGAAU